GACGCUGAUGGACGAAAGCGUGGGUAGCGAACAGGAUUAGAUACCCUGGUAGUCCACGCCGUAAACGAUGGUUACUAGCUGUUUGGUACGAUUGAGUACUGAGUGGCCAAGCGAAAGUGAUAAGUAACCCACCUGGGGAGUACGUUCGCAAGAAUGAAACUCAAAGGAAUUGACGGGGCCCGCACAAGCGGUGGAGCAUGUGGUUUAAUUCGAUGAUACGCGAGGAACCUUACCAGGGCUUAAAUGCAUAUUGACAGGUUUAGAAAUAGACUUUUCUUCGGACAAUUUGCAAGGUGCUGCAUGGUUGUCGUCAGCUCGUGCCGUGAGGUGUCAGGUUAAGUCCUAUAACGAGCGCAACCCCUAUUACUAGUUGCCAGCGAGUCAAGUCGGGGACUCUAGUGAGACUGCCGGUGCAAACCGUGAGGAAGGUGGGGAUGACGUCAAAUCAUCACGGCCCUUACGUCCUGGGCCACACACGUGCUACAAUGGUAGGGACAGAGAGCAGCCACUUCGUGAGAAGGAGCGAAUCUUCAAACCCUAUCUCAGUUCGGAUCGUAGUCUGCAACUCGACUACGUGAAGCUGGAAUCGCUAGUAAUCGCAUAUCAGCCAUGAUGCGGUGAAUACGUUCCCGGGCCUUGUACACACCGCCCGUCAAGCCAUGGAAGCUGGGGGUGCCUGAAGUCGGUGACCGCAAGGAGCUGCCUAGGGUAAAACCGGUAACUGGGGCUAAGUCGUAACAAGGUAGCCGUACCGGAAGGUGCGGCUGGAACACCUCCUUUCUGGA
Molecule: ribosomal RNA, 785 nt
Filed under: Nonlabens xylanidelens
Lineage: Bacteria; Pseudomonadati; Bacteroidota; Flavobacteriia; Flavobacteriales; Flavobacteriaceae
Description: bacterial SSU rRNA
Rfam family: Bacterial small subunit ribosomal RNA
Source: RNAcentral